RNAcentral lists this long non-coding RNA (2719 nucleotides) under Arabidopsis thaliana (thale cress). RNAcentral's name for it is "potential natural antisense gene, locus overlaps with AT5G66560 (AT5G66558)". Lineage: Eukaryota; Viridiplantae; Streptophyta; Magnoliopsida; Brassicales; Brassicaceae. The record is from RNAcentral.
GAGCAGUCGCAUAGCAAGAAUCUCGAAGGAUUAACAAAAACUAAAAUCCAAGAAUCACAACAAUAUGCUUUCUGAUUCUGUACUAAAAAGAGUAAAAUCAAUCGAAAACAAUUCAAGACCGUCGUGAUCUAUGAUCAACCAUCGUUGCUUCGUGUGAAUCGCAGACCUGUGUCUUGAAUUUACAUCCGAAUUUUUUGGUAAUCGACCAACUUCUCGGCCGAUCAGUCGUCGUCGCCGGUGAUGAACCUUCCUUAUCAAUCUUCGCGAUCACUUUCUUCAUGUUCGAGCACUCUCUCUCUAACCGAUGAACACGCGUCCUCAUCGUAUCCAUAUCCAAGCGAAGCACCUGAUUCUCUCUAACCGUCUUCUUCCAUUUCCCAGCGUCCACCUGUCUUUCUCCUUCCGCUUCAUCACCGUCCUCUUCCGUUAUCGUUAGAUUCCUUAUUGCCGCUGACGGUCUUGGCUCCGUUGACUGUGACGUAGACGGCGAUUGAGCAGCUAAUAACGUCCCGGCGAUCGCGUGCCGGAGUUGUAACUGCUCGAAGAAGAGAACUUGUACGACGGCUCGUAGCGGAAGCCGCUCGUUUUGCGCGGCGUGUGUGCACGCUUCCAACGUCAGUUUCUGACAAUCCAUCACGCCGCAUAUUUUCUCUCUCUCUGCUUCCGAUACCCAUGGAUGCGCCUAUUGAAGAAAACGAAAUUUUCAAAACAAAUCAGAUCCAAAUUCUCCGAUCUUCUCUUCACAUUGAAUUUUAUUGUUAUACCUUGAGAUAUACGUCGACGGCUCUGUAAAGUCCGUCAUCAUAGAGACGAGCUUGAUCUGGGAGUGAGAUGGCUAGAUUGUAGAACUUAUCCGAUUUGAGAUUAGCGUCCGAUGCGAUCUCCGCGAGAAAUCCGUCGAUUAAUUUCCCGACGAGCAUCAGCGACGGAGAUUUUCCGUCAACUUCGACUAUGGCGGUGUUGGAUUGUUCCAAGGUGUCGAGAAAGUGGCCUAAGAUUCUCUCUACCAAAUCAACAUCGUAUAAAGUCUCGUUGAGGUAUGAGUAGCUAGGGACGAGCAAAUCGUCGAGCGUGGCUCUCUCUAGCUGCGAUCCGAUCUUUCUCUCCAGCAGAUCACGGCAAAUCUCGGCGGCGUUGAGGAUGAUUGCGGUUCGUAAUAAGCCGAAGAGGAAUCUCGUUGUUGAGGAGAUGGAGCUUUUAUCUAAUGGAAGAUUAGAGGUUAUUGUUUCCAGUAGUUCUCUCUGUUCAUUCUCUGAAACUGCGGUUGAAGAUGACGAUGGCGGUUUCCGGUUAGAACGUAGAAUCCCGGGAAUGUGCUUCUUAGCGUAACAAAUCAAACAGCUCUCUAUGAUAUCGGAGCUCAGAUCUCCUGAUCUCAUUGAUAGGAUCACAGUUUUGAAGAUCGGAAGACUCAGUUGCGUCAGAUCUUCAAACCACAGCUCCAUGUUCGAAUCUCUACUCGGUUUCUUUCGAGAUUUCGCCGCGCCGCCGGGUAUAAGUUGCAGAUCGGUGGCGGAGAUGUUUCCUCUUCCGCCGCCAUCGUUUACUGGCCAACCGAAGAGUGAAGGAUCAGCUGAGGAAGCUCUGGAGACUAUAGAGUCGAUGCACUGUUCCGUUAUACCAAGCGAUCCGGCUAAAGGAGAGACUGACUCACAAGCUUUGAGAGCUUUAAUGGAUUCACGCAAGCUCUUGUAGACGGAAUGAGAGAGAAACCUCUCAGUCUUGGAAAUUAGGUUAUCUGGUGAAUACUCUUCCGUCAUUUCGAGGUGUUCGGCGGCGCAACGAAGUGGAACAACGGUGGAAGCAGAGAGGUCCAUCUUGACGCCGUAGCAGAACUUCGCCACCAUCUCAAAGCUCUCUGAACUACCGGGAAAAUCCUCGAGUUUGAUUCUCUUCUACUUUUGGGUCUAUUACAGUUAUCAGCGCCAUGGAAGAGGAAGAUCUAGUCUCUUGCUCUGUAAUCAACCUGUGAAGUUUCCUGCUCUUUGACAUGAGUGGAAACUGGAAAAGCCACAGACAACAACACAAAUCUUGUGAGUAAUCAAAGAAAAAACAGAGAGUGCCAAAGAAGAAGACAAAUCUUCAGGCUUUUGUGAACGCACCUUAUGGAGAUGGAAUGUCAUGUCAUCAACUUCGAUUUCAAUGUCACUAGGUAACCCAGUCGUACAAAACCUGCAUCACGAUACCAAAACGAAAAAAAAAAGGAAAUGAGAAAAUUUCUUUAGGCAACAUUUUAAAAUAUUAUUAUUGUUAAGAUAAGUGUUAGCUGAUCUUCACCAUGCUUGGCCCUUGGAGGUAGAUUUCUCUGACGCCAUUAAUGGAGACAACAACUCAGGGCUCUGAAAAAAAUAUCACUCAAGACAGGAAAAAAACAAGACUCUCUCUAUCUCUUUCUAAAGAGGAGAAUAUGGAGAGAACAAGAAGGGGAAAGGGAAGGAAUUGGAAUCCUAAAUCAUAAGAAAGAGACACAUUAAAAGCAAAGAAAAACAUUAUUCGGAUAUCGAAAAAGGGGAUCUCGUUUUUGAUCCAUCUUUUUAUUUUCUUUAAUUUUAAUAAAAGUUAAUGUUUAGUUGGAGAACAGCAAGAAUCUCAACUACUCUCAACACGAGACACAUUUUCAGAUAAAUUACGCUUUGGGAGAAGCAAAAAUCCCACUCAUUUGUUAAUCAUUUAAACUAAUUCUUUAGUAAUAUAUACACACCCCUCUCGUUUUCUGCUU